Molecule: transfer RNA, 76 nt
Filed under: Clostridiales bacterium
Lineage: Bacteria; Bacillati; Bacillota; Clostridia; Eubacteriales
Description: tRNA-Ala
Rfam family: tRNA
About the family: Transfer RNA (tRNA) molecules are approximately 80 nucleotides in length. Their secondary structure includes four short double-helical elements and three loops (D, anti-codon, and T loops). Further hydrogen bonds mediate the characteristic L-shaped molecular structure. tRNAs have two regions of fundamental functional importance: the anti-codon, which is responsible for specific mRNA codon recognition, and the 3' end, to which the tRNAs corresponding amino acid is attached (by aminoacyl-tRNA synthetases). tRNAs cope with the degeneracy of the genetic code in two manners: having more than one tRNA (with a specific anti-codon) for a particular amino acid; and 'wobble' base-pairing, i.e. permitting non-standard base-pairing at the 3rd anti-codon position.
Source: RNAcentral
GGGGGCGUAGCUCAGUUGGGAGAGUGUCUGACUGGCAGUCAGAAGGUCGAGAGUUCGAAUCUCUUCGUCUCCACCA